GCUGGCGUUGUAAUAUUGGGAUUGUAAGACUUCCAAUUAACAAUCCCAGAUUUUUUUAUUCUUACGAUAAAAAUCCAACUGACAACCACUGACUCAAUCACGUCGUUUUGAUCAGUUUUAAUCACUGAAUUUUGUCGGUGCCCAUUGUUGGGGGUGUCUUUUUGCUGCCGACGGCGUAGCGCUGCCGCAUCAAUUUGACGCCCGUGAAAAUCCAGCCAUAGGUACCACGUGCAACAGAGACAGAAGUAACGUUCUACUACCGGACAGUCGCACAGUGGUUUAUCCUGCCGCAAUAAGUUUUCCUUCUGACAAUGAGCGAGAUACGACAAGUAGCGGUGGUUUGAGAAGAGUAUUGCAUACUCUCUUUUACAGAUUCGUAAUCUUAUCCAUCUAAAUGAAAUUCUAAAAUUGCCGAUCAUUAGAAUCUGAUUACAAUUUUUCUUAGAAAUUCAUACUCUUUUAUGAGAAUUCAUGGAGUUUCAUAAAAAUUUGUACUUUUUAACGAAAUUCUAAGAAUACUACACGAAAUAAUAAUUUAUGAAAAAAUGAUUUUCUACGAAAGAUAAUUACUAUUUCAGACCCAUGUGACUAGU
This is a long non-coding RNA of Neodiprion virginianus, 593 nucleotides long. RefSeq lists it as uncharacterized. The record is from RefSeq and is a predicted model, not a curated record. Lineage: Eukaryota; Metazoa; Arthropoda; Insecta; Hymenoptera; Diprionidae. The transcript has 2 exons.